RNAcentral lists this signal recognition particle RNA (99 nucleotides) under Paracoccus sp. (in: a-proteobacteria). RNAcentral describes it as "signal recognition particle sRNA small type". It matches the Rfam family "Bacterial small signal recognition particle RNA". Rfam says of the family: The signal recognition particle (SRP) is a universally conserved ribonucleoprotein involved in the co-translational targeting of proteins to membranes. Archaeal SRP consists of a 7S RNA and homologues of the eukaryotic SRP19 and SRP54 proteins. Lineage: Bacteria; Pseudomonadati; Pseudomonadota; Alphaproteobacteria; Rhodobacterales; Paracoccaceae. The record is from RNAcentral.
CGAGAGGCUGGCGCGGGCGAACGCUUCGCCAACCCGGUCAGGUCCGGAAGGAAGCAGCCGCAACGAAUUCCGUUCGGGUCGCUGUCCAGUCUCUCACCU